GAAAGUAAGAAAGGGCGUAUGGCGGAUGCCUAGGCUCACGGAGGCGAUGAAGGACGUGAUAAGCUGCGAUAAGCUUCGGGUAGGUGCAAAUAACCUUUGAUCCGGAGAUUUCCGAAUGGGACAACCUAGCCGUCUGAAGGACGGUUACUCGAUCUUCAAGAUUGAGAGCUAACGCAGGGAACUGAAACAUCUUAGUACCUGCAGGAAGAGAAAAUAAAUGAAUGAUUCCCCCAGUAGUGGCGAGCGAACGGGGAACAGCCCAAACCAGUGGCGUCGCAAGGCGUGGCUGGGGUUGUAGGACCGCGACAUUGUAUUGAAAUGGUGAGUGGAAGUAUCUGGAAAGUUACAUCACAGAAGGUGAUAAUCCUGUACACGAAGCCAAAUCAAGCAUAGCGGUAUCCUGAGUAACGCGGGACACGAGGAAUCCUGCGCGAAUCUGCCGGGACCAUCCGGUAAGGCUAAAUACUCCCGUGAGACCGAUAGCGAACGAGUACUGUGAAGGAAAGGUGAAAAGAACCCCGAGCAGGGGAGUGAAAUAGUUCCUGAAACCAUGCGCCUACAAGCGGUCGGAGCAUCUUACGAUGUGACGGCGUGCCUUUUGCAUAAUGAUCCUACGAGUUACCGUCACUGGCGAGGUUGAGUACCAUGAGGUACGUAGCCGCAGUGAAAGCGAGCCUGAAGAGGGCGCACAGUCAGUGGGGGUAGACGCGAAACCAAGUGAUCUACACUUGGCCAGGAUGAAGUCCCGGUAACACGGGAUGGAGGUCCGCACCAAUAAGCGUUGAAAAGCUUCUGGAUGAGCCGAGUGUAGGAGUGAAAGGCCAAUCAAACUUGGAGAUAGCUCGUACUCCCCGAAAGGCAUUUAGGUGCCGCGUCGGAUGGUCACCGUGAGAGGUAGAGCGACCGAUAGGACAAGAGGGCUUCACCGCCUAUCGAGUCCUGACGAACUCCGAAUGCUCACGGUUCGCAGUCCGGCAGUAAGGGGGCGGGUGCUAAGGUCCGUCCCCGAGAGGAGAAGAAUCCAGACCGCCGUCUAAGGUCCCGGAGUUCUGCCUGAGUUAGUCUAACGAAGUCUGGUCCCUAUGACAGCUAGGAUGUUGGCUUGGAAGCAGCCAUUCAUUCAAAGAGUGCGUAACAGCUCACUAGUCGAGGGUCCGGGCAUGGAUAAUAAUCGGGUAUAAGGCAGACACCGAAGGCGCGGGAUAGCAAUUAUGAAAGUAUCGGUAGGGGAGCAUACUCACAGCGUCGAAUGGUGUACGUAAGUUAUCCUGGAGCGGUGAGUAAAGCAAAUGUAGGAAUAAGUAACGAUAAGGAGGGUUAGAUUCCCUCCCGCUGUAAGACCAAGGUUUCCCGGGCAAUGCCAAUCAGCCCGGGGUCAGUCGGGUCCUAAGUCUAAGCCGAACGGCGAUGGCGAUGGCAGAGACGGUUAAUAUUCCGUCACUGCCGCAUGGGGCGACGUGGAGACGGAGCAGUGAAACCACCGCGGGGCGACGGAAGUCCCCGUUGAAGAGUGUAGGUGUUGAGGAGAGCAGGCAAAUCCACUCUCCGAGCUGAACCUGAUAGUACGGAGUCCUCUUCGGAGGAAUCUGAUAGUGUGGGUAAUCAUACUCCCGAGAAAAUCCGCUAAGCUUNNNNNNNNNNGUUGAGGAUGGCAGGCAAAUCCACCAUCCGAGCUGAACUUGACAGUAUGGAGUCUUCUUCGGAAGAAUCCAAUAGUGUGGGUAAUCAUACUCCCGAGAAAAUCCGCUAAGCUUAACCCAUGCGGCACCCGUACCGCAAACGGACACACGUGGUCGGGUAGAACAUACUAAGGCGUUGAGAGAUUCAUGGUUAAGGAACUAGGCAAAUUGACCCUGUAACUUCGGGAUAAAGGGUCCUCGUGAUGAGCGAGGCGCAGAGAAUAGGUCCAGGCAACUGUUUAACAAAAACACAGGGCUGUGCAAACUCGAAAGAUGAGGUAUACAGCCUGACACCUGCCCGGUGCCGGAAGGUUAAGAGGAGAUGUCACCAGCAAUGGGAAGCAUUGAAUUGAAGCCCCGGUAAACGGCGGCCGUAACUAUAACGGUCCUAAGGUAGCGAAAUUCCUUGUCGGGUAAGUUCCGACCUGCACGAAUGGUGUAAUGAUCCGGACGCUGUCUCAACCAUGAGCUCAGUGAAAUUGUAGUAUCGGUGAAGAUGCCGAUUACCCGCGAUGGGACGAAAAGACCCCGUGAACCUUUACUACAGCUUAGCAUUGACCUUGGUCAUCCGAUGUGUAGGAUAGGCCGGAGGCUUUGAAGCGGGAGCGCCAGCUUUCGUGGAGCCAUCCUUGAAAUACGGCCCUUUGGCUGUCUGAGGUCUAACGCGCGAUGCGCGGACACUGCUUGGUGGGUAGUUUGACUGGGGUGGUCGCCUCCAAAAGCGUAACGGAGGCUUCCAAAGGUGCCCUCGGGUCGAUUGGUAACCGACCUCAAAGAGUGCAAUGGCAUAAGGGCGCUUGACUGGGAGGCAGACAUGCCGAGCAGGCAGGAAACUGGGGCAUAGUGAUCCGGCGGAUGUGUAUGGAAACUCCGUCGCUCAAAGGAUAAAAGGUACUCCGGGGAUAACAGGCUGAUCCCCCCCAAGAGCUCAUAUCGACGGGGUGGUUUGGCACCUCGAUGUCGGCUCGUCACAUCCUGGGGCUGGAGAAGGUCCCAAGGGUUGGGCUGUUCGCCCAUUAAAGUGGCACGCGAGCUGGGUUCAGAACGUCGUGAGACAGUUCGGUCUCUAUCUAUCGUGGGCGUGGGAGUUUUGAGUGGUGCCGUCACUAGUACGAGAGGACCGUGAUGGACAGACCUCCGGUUUACCAGUUGUGCCGCCAGGCGCACCGCUGGGUAUCUGAGUCUGGAUUGGAUAAGCGCUGAAAGCAUCUAAGUGCGAAGCCAGCCGCAAGAUGAGAACUCCAUUGAGGGUCGUCAAAGACGAUGACGUUGAUAGGAUGCAGGUGUAAAGACAGCGAUGUCAAAGCCGAGCAUUACUAAUUGCCCGAACACUUUCUUUA
Molecule: ribosomal RNA, 3019 nt
Filed under: Prevotella sp. TF12-30
Lineage: Bacteria; Pseudomonadati; Bacteroidota; Bacteroidia; Bacteroidales; Prevotellaceae
Description: bacterial LSU rRNA
Rfam family: Bacterial large subunit ribosomal RNA
Source: RNAcentral